Molecule: ribosomal RNA, 709 nt
Filed under: uncultured bacterium
Lineage: Bacteria
Description: bacterial SSU rRNA
Rfam family: Bacterial small subunit ribosomal RNA
Source: RNAcentral
GUCGAACGCGAAAGGGGAGCAAUCCCUGAGUAGAGUGGCAAACGGGUGAGUAACACGUGGGUGACCUGCCUUCGAGUGGGGGAUAACGUUCCGAAAGGAACGCUAAUACCGCAUGACAUCCUGCCUUUGGAAAGGCGGAGAUCAAAGCUGGGGAUCGCAAGACCUGGCGCUUGAAGAGGGGCCCGCGCCUGAUUAGCUAGUUGGUGGGGUAAUGGCUCACCAAGGCUACGAUCAGUAUCCGGCCUGAGAGGGCGGACGGACACACUGGGACUGAGACACGGCCCAGACUCCUACGGGAGGCAGCAGUGGGGAAUUUUUCGCAAUGGGGGAAACCCUGACGAAGCAACGCCGCGUGGAGGAUGAAGGCCUUCGGGUCGUAAACUCCUGUCGACCGGGACGAACGUAGAGAGGGCUAAUACCCAUUUCUAUCGACUGUACCGGUGGAGGAAGCCACGGCUAACUCUGUGCCAGCAGCCGCGGUAAUACAGAGGUGGCAAGCGUUGUUCGGAAUUACUGGGCGUAAAGGGCGCGUAGGCGGCCUUGUAAGUCCUGUGUGAAAUCCCCCGGCUCAACUGGGGAACUGCACAGGAGACUGCUUGGCUUGAGUUCGGGAGAGGGAAGCGGAAUUCCGGGGUGUAGCGGUGAAAUGCGUAGAUAUCCGGAGGAACACGGGUGGCGAAGGCGGCUUCCUGGACCGACACUGACGCUG